Molecule: unclassified non-coding RNA, 520 nt
Filed under: uncultured Glomus
Lineage: Eukaryota; Fungi; Glomeromycota; Glomeromycetes; Glomerales; Glomeraceae
Description: SSU rRNA
Rfam family: Eukaryotic small subunit ribosomal RNA
Source: RNAcentral
AGCAGCCGCGGUAAUUCCAGCUCCAAUAGCGUAUAUUAAAGUUGUUGCAGUUAAAAAGCUCGUAGUUGAAUUUCGAGACCGGUCUACUGGUCGUGCUUUUGUACGUACUGGUUUUAUCGGUUUCUCCUUUCUGACGAACUAUAAUGCCAUUAAUUUGGUGUUAUGGGGAAUCAGGACUGUUACUUUGAAAAAUUAGAGUGUUUAAAGCAGGCUCACGCUUGAAUACAUUAGCAUGGAAUAACGGAAUAGGACGUUUGAUUCUAUUUUGUUGGUUUCUAGGAUCGACGUAAUGAUUAAUAGGGAUAGUUGGGGGCAUUAGUAUUCAAUUGUCAGAGGUGAAAUUCUUGGAUUUAUUGAAGACUAACUACUGCGAAAGCAUUUGCCAAGGAUGUUUUCAUUAAUCAAGAACGGAAGUUAGGGGAUCGAAGACGAUCAGAUACCGUCGUAGUCUUAACCAUAAACUAUGCCGACUAGGGAUCGGAUGAUGUUAAUUUUUAAUGACUCAUUCGGCGCCUUACGG